GGAUGAAGGAUGCCGAGGAAAGGGGCCAUGUGUGCUGAGGUCCAGAGAUAUGAGCAGGGACGUCUCCAAAACAUAGGCUCUGGACCAGGAACACUGAUAGACUGGCCUCUUCCUCCAGAGGAGAGGUCGGGCUCAGGAAAUAUCCAUCCCCAAAACGACAGAGCAGGGACAGUUCCCAGCCCAGAGGGACAGGCUCGGUCGGAGUUGAGGAUGCCAUUGUGGAGAAGGAGACGCAUGUGGACAGAGAAUGGCUCUGGAGCUGUGGAGCCUGGUGCAGGAUCUGACUCAGAGACACUCCAUAAACCUUUCUCAAAGAAUAUAUGAAUGCGGCGUGAAAGUAGUCAUCUGCUCUCUGCCAGGCACUGUCCUUGAUGCUGAAGACUCAAGGCCGCUUCACUACAGCCCAGUCCUAAGCAUCCGCCCAUCUCCCAGCAGCCCAGCCAGGUCUCCACUGUUGACCACGACAAGGUCAACAACAAGGUGUCCACCUAGCCUCAUGGGCGCAGGAGGCCUUGCUCUCCCCAAGCUCAAGGUGGCUGCAGUCAGUUCCCACCAGGUGACAGUGAUUGCCUUAGCAGCUGGUGGGCGCUCCCUGCCCCGGAGGCCGCCCACCUUGGGUGGGACACAAGGCAGCAGACAAUGGGAAGGAAUGAGAAUUCGUGAGGCCAGCAAGGGUGGCUG
Heterocephalus glaber (naked mole-rat) is the source of this 681-nucleotide long non-coding RNA. The record is from Ensembl. NCBI's taxonomy places the organism in Eukaryota, Metazoa, Chordata, Mammalia, Rodentia, Bathyergidae.